UUGCUGUACCGCGCCGUGGUGCCGCAGGAGCUCCUAAACCGGGGAAGGCAUUGGUUUCCACAGAUUCCCCAAUGACAGAGCCUGUACCACGCACUUCUCGCGGGGUUCUCCAGCAGCCAGCCGUCGCUAGAGAGUCUGCACCAUGCACACCUUCAUCACAGGAGACCCAAUCUACGCUAACAGGAAGGGGUCCGAGCCGAAUUCGCGAGGCUUUAACGCAACGAACACAGAAGCGAAUGCAGGAGUACUUUGAUUGGAUAUCGAAGUGCUGGCGUCAGCCUGUAGCUUUCAUGACAUGUGCCGGCGCAGUUCAUUCAGGACCCAUUUUAUGUUUACUGGAGAACUUGUAAGGACUGUGGUCCCUAUGUAAAGGCAUUGAUUUGUGAUCAAUCAAGGUGCACUUGGGACAGCACUCGGAAUAACCCCACAUGAUCCUUUUUUUAAUGGAUGGGGCAAAAAUAUACUUUUCGAUACUCCGCACUUGUUGAAAUGUACUAGAAACAACUUGCGGAAAUAGGACUUCCACAUUGGGAAGGAUGUUGUUUCAUGAAAAUAAAUAGUCAAAAUAUACGAGUCCACCCAUCACGUCAAACUGAAUAUAUCUACCAAAAAUCACUGACAGGCAUUUGUACCAAACUCCUUUCGGCAACAUGAAGGUAAAAUUUGCCUCGCAAGUAUUAACAGUGUGUGUUUGGUCCUUGAGUCCUUCAUAUUGCUUUAAACGUUCUGCCUCCCACUGCCACACACAGAGGCAGCUUUAUAAAAAGGAUGGGCAAGCUGGUCGAUGCCUUGAACAGCUUCGCAGUGCGCAUAAAAGAGCGGAAUGUGAGACGCCGUUAACUCAUCCACAGAGCACAUUGAAUUGUUAAAGGCUGACGAGCUUUGGAUUAACUCCUGAAAGUUAGAUUGCCUUCGCCAACCUAGGACUAUAUUUGGAUGGCGGAUCACAAUCAAAGUAAUCUUGUUGCUGUGGCAAGACCUCCAGUAAUCUUUAAUUUUCAGUUCUUGUAGACAUGGCGACCUGAAUCGCGAUCCCCUUGAGAUUAUGUUCGGGCUCAUUCAGCAGCAGCACGGUUACAAUGAACCUCGAAAUGUCUAUGAUAGAAUGUCAAACCCAUCUUUGAAAGUACUUCUAUGUUGUAUGGGGAUCAUAGCAGGAUGACAAGGGAGAUUGUGGAGCCUUAUGAAAUUGCAAAGUUAGAAGAAAGGUGCGUGAGCAAGCCAUAAGUGUCGCUAUCUGAAAGAGAGAUACGAUUCCUCGUUUUAUCGCUGUAACUUUUGCAGUGUAUGUUUUGAUCAUGCCUUAGACACGUGCACGGCUCAUCAUCAUGCACGACUGGAUGAUCUUUUUUUGUCUCGUUUGUUUCCGCUCGUUCGUUAUAUAUUUAUCGACACGUGCGAAAAUAAAAUCUAUA
Molecule: long non-coding RNA, 1415 nt
Organism: Dermacentor andersoni
Lineage: Eukaryota; Metazoa; Arthropoda; Arachnida; Ixodida; Ixodidae
Source: RefSeq, a predicted model, not a curated record